AAGUCGUAACAAGGUUUCCGUAGGUGAACCUGCGGAAGGAUCAUUAACACGUAUCCAAAAACACGUUUUUUUUUUUAAAACUCCAAACAUCUGUGAACAGCCAAUUGUACAAAACAUUGGUUCCCUCUUCCCUAUUACAUCAAUCACCCCCUUUUUUUACAUUUCACUUGAACUGAAAAAAAAACACAAAAACACAACAACCCUUUCUCUUUUUGUAAUACAAGAGAGAAAAGUAUGUUAUGAAAAAAUGCUGAACAACUCUUAACAACGGAUAUCUUGGUUCUC
This 285-nucleotide unclassified non-coding RNA is filed under the name fungal sp. RNAcentral describes it as "partial internal transcribed spacer region". The stretch from base 1 to 46 matches the Rfam family "Eukaryotic small subunit ribosomal RNA", at positions 1786 to 1831 of the family's 1831-position model. Lineage: Eukaryota; Fungi. The record is from RNAcentral.